AGAACGAACGCUGGCGGCAGGCCUCAAACAUGCAAGUCUAGGGGGUGUAGCAAUACAUCACCGGCGGACGGGUGCGUAACACGUGGGAAUGUACUUACUGGUACGGAACAACUCAGGGAAACUUGAGCUAAUACCGCAUAAGCCCGAAAGGGGAAAGAUUUAUCGCCAGUAAAUCAGCCCGCGUCCGAUUAGCUAGUUGGUGGGGUAAAGGCUCACCAAGGCUCCGAUCGGUAGCUGUUCUGAGAGGAAGAUCAGCCACACUGGGACUGAGACACGGCCCAGACUCCUACGGGAGGCAGCAGUUGGGAAUCUUGGACAAUGGGGGAAACCCUGAUCCAGCCAUGCCGCGUGAGUGAUGAAGGCCUUAGGGUUGUAAAACUCUUUCGACGGGGACGAUAAUGACGGUACCCGUAGAAGAAGCUCCGGCUAACUUCGUGCCGCAGCCGC
RNAcentral lists this ribosomal RNA (447 nucleotides) under uncultured bacterium. Its description in RNAcentral is "SSU rRNA". It matches the Rfam family "Bacterial small subunit ribosomal RNA", at positions 26 to 518 of the family's 1533-position model. The record is from RNAcentral.